This 556-nucleotide ribosomal RNA is filed under the name uncultured Pseudomonadota bacterium. Its description in RNAcentral is "bacterial SSU rRNA". It matches the Rfam family "Bacterial small subunit ribosomal RNA", at positions 97 to 650 of the family's 1533-position model. Lineage: Bacteria; Pseudomonadati; Pseudomonadota. The record is from RNAcentral.
GGCGCAAGGGUGAGUAACACGUAGGCAACCUGCCUUCAGGACGGGGAUAACUCCGAGAAAUCGGGGCUAAUACCCGAUAACGCAGCGGCACCGCAUGGUGACAGUUGUUAAAUGCUACGGCGCCUGAAGAUGGGCCUGCGUCCCAUUAGGUAGUUGGCGGGGUAACGGCCCACCAAGCCGACGAUGGGUAGCUGGUCUGAGAGGACGAUCAGCCACACUGGAACUGAGACACGGUCCAGACUCCUACGGGAGGCAGCAGUGAGGAAUAUUGCGCAAUGUCCGAAAGGGUGACGCAGCGACGCCGCGUGGAGGAUGAAGGCCCUCUGGGUCGUAAACUCCUGUUGAGAGGGAAGAAUGGAGCGCUAUAGGCGUUCAUGACGGUACCUCUAGAGAAAGCACCGGCUAACUACGUGCCAGCAGCCGCGGUAAUACGUAGGGUGCAAGCGUUGUCCGGAUUCACUGGGUGUAAAGGGAGCGCAGGCGGGUUUUCAAGUCAUUGGUGAAAUUCUCAGGCUCAACCUGGGGACUGCCAGUGAUACUGGAGAUCUUGAGUGCA